RNAcentral lists this ribosomal RNA (377 nucleotides) under uncultured bacterium. RNAcentral describes it as "bacterial SSU rRNA". It matches the Rfam family "Bacterial small subunit ribosomal RNA", at positions 521 to 896 of the family's 1533-position model. The record is from RNAcentral.
UAAUACGUAGGUGGCGAGCGUUGUCCGGAAUCAUUGGGCGUAAAGGGCGCGUAGGCGGAGAUAAAAGUCUUCAUGUAAAAAUGCGGGGCUCAACCCCGUAGAGCAUAAGAAACUGUAUCCCUUGAGGACAGGAGAGGAAAGCGGAAUUCCCAGUGUAGCGGUGAAAUGCGUAGAUAUUGGGAGGAACACCAGUGGCGAAGGCGGCUUUCUGGACUGUAACUGACGCUGAGGCGCGAAAGCCAGGGAAGUGAACGGGAUUAGAUACCCCGGUAAUCCUGGCCGUAAACGAUGGGUACUAGGUGUAGAGGGUAUCGAACCCUUCUGUGCCGGAGUUAACGCAAUAAGUACCCCGCCUGGGGAGUACGGCCGCAAGGUUG